GAUGAACGCUGGCGGCGUGCUUAACACAUGCAAGUCGAACGUGAGAGGAUAGCAAUAUUCUUGAAAGUGGCGCACGGGUGAGUAAUACGUAGGUAACCUGCCCUGGAGUGGGGGAUAACAACUAGAAAUGGUUGCUAAUACCGCAUGAAGCCAAGACACUGGGAAGUGACUUGGUAAAAACUCUGGUGCUUCAGGAGGGGCCUACGGCCGAUUAGCUAGUUGGCGGGGUAAGAGCCCACCAAGGCAGUGAUCGGUAGCUGGUCUGAGAGGACGAUCAGCCACACGGGAACUGAGACACGGUCCCGACUCCUACGGGGGGGCAGCAGUGAGGAAUAUUGGGCAAUGGGCGAAAGCCUGACGCAGCGACGCCGCGUGGAGGAUGAAGGUCUUUGGAUUGUAAACUUCUGUUAAGUGGGAAGAAAGGCAAAGUUUUAAUACAACUUUGAUAUGACGGUACCAUUAGAGAAAGACACCGGCUAAACUCGUGCCAGCAGCCG
This 497-nucleotide ribosomal RNA is filed under the name uncultured bacterium. RNAcentral describes it as "bacterial SSU rRNA". It matches the Rfam family "Bacterial small subunit ribosomal RNA", at positions 28 to 517 of the family's 1533-position model. The record is from RNAcentral.